UUUGACCUCGGAUCAGGUAGGGAUACCCGCUGAACUUAAGCAUAUCAAUAAGCGGAGGAAAAGAAACCAACAGGGAUUGCCUCAGUAACGGCGAGUGAAGCGGCAACAGCUCAAAUUUGAAAUCUGGCUCUUUCAGGGUCCGAGUUGUAAUUUGUAGAAGAUGCUUCGGGUGUGGCUCCGGUCUAAGUUCCUUGGAACAGGACGUCAUAGAGGGUGAGAAUCCCGUAUGUGACUGGUUGCCUUCGCCCAUGUGAAGCUCUUUCGACGAGUCGAGUUGUUUGGGAAUGCAGCUCAAAAUGGGUGGUAUAUUUCAUCUAAAGCUAAAUAUUGGCCAGAGACCGAUAGCGCACAAGUAGAGUGAUCGAAAGAUGAAAAGCACUUUGGAAAGAGAGUUAAACAGUACGUGAAAUUGUUGAAAGGGAAGCGCUUGCAACCAGACUUGCGCGUAGUUGAUCAUCCGGGGUUCUCCCCGGUGCACUCGAUUGCGCUCAGGCCAGCAUCGGUUUGGGUGGUUGGAUAAAGGCCUUGGGAAUGUAGCUUCUUUCGGGGAGUGUUAUAGCCCUCGGUGCAAUGCAGCCUACCCGGACCGAGGACCGCGCUUCGGCUAGGAUGCUGGCGUAAUGGUUGUAAGCGACCCGUCUUGAAACACGGACCAAGGAGUCUAACAUUUAUGCGAGUGUUUGGGUGUUAAACCCAUACGCGUAAUGAAAGUGAACGGAGGUGAGAACCCUUAAGGGUGCAUCAUCGACCGAUCCUGAUGUCUUCGGAUGGAUUUGAGUAAGAGCAUAACUGUUGGGACCCGAAAGAUGGUGAACUAUGCCUGAAUAGGGUGAAGCCAGAGGAAACUCUGGUGGAGGCGCGCAGCGGUUCUGACGUGCAAAUCGAUCGUCAAAUUUGGGUAUAGGGGCGAAAG
RNAcentral lists this ribosomal RNA (913 nucleotides) under Hyalodendriella betulae. RNAcentral's name for it is "eukaryotic LSU rRNA". It matches the Rfam family "Eukaryotic large subunit ribosomal RNA", at positions 1 to 929 of the family's 3401-position model. The record is from RNAcentral. Lineage: Eukaryota; Fungi; Ascomycota; Leotiomycetes; Helotiales; Hamatocanthoscyphaceae.